RNAcentral lists this ribosomal RNA (430 nucleotides) under uncultured bacterium. RNAcentral's name for it is "bacterial SSU rRNA". It matches the Rfam family "Bacterial small subunit ribosomal RNA", at positions 355 to 776 of the family's 1533-position model. The record is from RNAcentral.
UGGGGAAUAUUGCGCAAUGGGGGAAACCCUGACGCAGCGACGCCGCGUGAGCGAUGAAGGCCUUAGGGUUGUAAAGCUCUGUUUUAGGGGACGAAUGUCCAUGUGAGUAAUAUGCGCGUGGAAUGACGGUACCCUAAGAGGAAGCCCCGGCUAACUACGUGCCAGCAGCCGCGGUAAGACGUAGGGGGCGAGCGUUGUCCGGAAUUACUGGGCGUAAAGAGCACGUAGGCGGGAACUUAAGUCAGAUGUGAAAGACCGGGGCUCAACUCCGGGAUUGCAUUUGAAACUGGGUUUCUUGAGGGCAGGAGAGGAAAGCAGAAUUCCUGGUGUAGCGGUGAAAUGCGUAGAAAUCAGGAGGAAUACCAGUGGCGAAGGCGGCUUUCUGGACUGACCCUGACGCUGAGGUGCGAAAGCGUGGGUAGCAAACAGG